This 769-nucleotide long non-coding RNA is filed under the name Phoenix dactylifera (date palm). Its description in RNAcentral is "long non-coding RNA (PDAC_LNC000974)". Lineage: Eukaryota; Viridiplantae; Streptophyta; Magnoliopsida; Arecales; Arecaceae. The record is from RNAcentral.
UUAAAGCAAGAUCCAGAUCUAGAAUCUGACAAAACUAAAAUCCUACAGAUAAUCUAGGCACAAAAUAACAGGGAAAUCAACCUAUAACAUCAAAUCCGGACCCAAAAUCAAGAAACAUAUCUAUAAUCCAGAAAACUAUCACCAAAUAACACCAAAAUCUUGAACUAUAAAUCAAGAACCACGAAGUAUUCAAAGAACACGAACGAAAGUAGGAAUUGGAGAAAAUGUCAAAUGCGAUGUUUCUGAAGAUAUCACAUGGCAGUAGAUAAUCCCAAAGAAACAGAUGCUUCACUCAUUUUCCAAAUAUUGAUCCCAGGAAACUACAGAGAAGGAACAAAAACUUCAUCUUUUCAUUAGCAUCACCAAGAAUCCACAAAAGGUCACCCUUGGAAGAUCAAAGAAAGCCCUCCUUUAAAAAUUAUUAACCAUAUUAAAAAUUUCCCCAUCAUCAACCAGUCGGACAUACAAGAUGAUCAAAAUGCAAGAAAAUCAAAAAAUCACUUAAAGCAAGAUCCAGAUCUAGAAUCUGUUAAAACUAAAACCCUACAGAUAAUCUAGGCACAAAAUAACAGGGAAAUCAACCUAUAACAUCAAAUCCAGACCCAAAAUCAAGAAACAUAUCUAUAAUCCAGAAAACUAUCACCAAAUAACACCAAAAUCUUGAACUAUAAAUCAAGAACCACGAAGUAUUCAAAGAACACGAACGAAAAUAGGAAUUGGAGAAAAUCACGAAUAUAACGACAAAACCCAACUAGAAAUCAAGAACCAU